Molecule: ribosomal RNA, 159 nt
Filed under: Rhizopogon sp. SNFC26-2
Lineage: Eukaryota; Fungi; Basidiomycota; Agaricomycetes; Boletales; Rhizopogonaceae
Description: 5.8S ribosomal RNA
Rfam family: 5.8S ribosomal RNA
About the family: 5.8S ribosomal RNA (5.8S rRNA) is a component of the large subunit of the eukaryotic ribosome. It is transcribed by RNA polymerase I as part of the 45S precursor that also contains 18S and 28S rRNA.
Source: RNAcentral
ACUUUCAGCAAUGGAUCUCUUGGCUCUCGCAUCGAUGAAGAACGCAGCGAAACGCGAUAUGUAAUGUGAAUUGCAGAUCUACAGUGAAUCAUCGAAUCUUUGAACGCACCUUGCGCUCCUUGGUAUUCCGAGGAGCAUGCCUGUUUGAGUGUCAGUAAU